GUGGGGGAUAUUGCACAAUGGGGGGAACCCUGAUGCAGCGACGCCGCGUGAGUGAAGAAGUAAUUCGUUAUGUAAAGCUCUAUCAGCAGGGAAGAAGAAAUGACGGUACCUGACUAAGAAGCCCCGGCUAACUACGUGCCAGCAGCCGCGGUAAUACGUAGGGGGCAAGCGUUAUCCGGAUUUACUGGGUGUAAAGGGAGCGUAGACGGCGAUGCAAGCCAGAUGUGAAAGCCCGCGGCUCAACUGCGGGACUGCAUUUGGAACUGUAUGGCUGGAGUGCAGGAGAGGCAGGCGGAAUUCCUAGUGUAGCGGUGAAAUGCGUAGAUAUUAGGAGGAACACCAGUGGCGAAGGCGGCCUGCUGGACUGUAACUGACGUUGAGGCUCGAAAGCGUGGGGAGCAAACAGGA
Molecule: ribosomal RNA, 408 nt
Filed under: uncultured bacterium
Lineage: Bacteria
Description: bacterial SSU rRNA
Rfam family: Bacterial small subunit ribosomal RNA
Source: RNAcentral